This is a long non-coding RNA of Homo sapiens (human), 540 nucleotides long. Ensembl annotates it as long intergenic non-protein coding RNA 887. The record is from Ensembl. Lineage: Eukaryota; Metazoa; Chordata; Mammalia; Primates; Hominidae.
AGCCGCAGGAGAGGAGGCUCACAACGGCCAGGCAGGCUCCGAUCUUCUCAAUGUGGUCCCUCGCUGUGGCGGCUUAGCUUAGAUCUUCUCUCAAACUCAGGCCGCUAGAGGGUCCCCACCGGGAAAGGGACACGCCAGGGCGUGGGGCAGAAAGAAAUCUCGCCAUUGCCGGGAAUGGGUAAAUCACUCAGGCCGCGUGGGUCCUUGGCAGAUGGCAGAGGCGGCUUCCCAGUCCCCCACCUGGCACUAGAGGGACGGGGCGCGCACCCAACGGUGGCACGCAUCGCCGAAUUUUCCUGAAUGCCGCUGUGGCACAUUCCUGGCCUUUGCAGUUAUUAGGAAAUGAGAGGAUCUUUUUUCCUUCUACUCUCCCCUCCCCCUGCCUUCGUUUUUCUUCCAGGCAUGGAAUUAUCUACUUUAGCAGUUCAAAAGACAUUCCAUUCCCAUGACAAAGACAGAAAGGGGUGAUGUUGGCAUACUGUAGCCCUCUUUCUCAUAGGGAGACUUGAGCAAUAAAUCAUAAUGAAUGAGAAUUUAAAA